GGUUAAGCGACUAAGCGUACACGGUGGAUGCCCUGGCAGUCAGAGGCGAUGAAGGGCGUGCUAAUCUGCGAUAAGCGCCGGUAAGGUGAUAUGAACCGUUAUAACCGGCGAUACCCGAAUGGGGAAACCCAGUGUGACUCGUCACACUAUCAUUAACUGAAUCCAUAGGUUAAUGAGGCGAACCGGGGGAACUGAAACAUCUAAGUACCCCGAGGAAAAGAAAUCAACCGAGAUUCCCCCAGUAGCGGCGAGCGAACGGGGAGGAGCCCAGAGCCUGAAUCAGCAUGUGUGUUAGUGGAAGCGUCUGGAAAGGCGCGCGAUACAGGGUGACAGCCCCGUACACAAAAGCGCAUGUGCUGUGAGCUCGAUGAGUAGGGCGGGACACGUGGUAUCCUGUCUGAAUAUGGGGGGACCAUCCUCCAAGGCUAAAUACUCCUGACUGACCGAUAGUGAACCAGUACCGUGAGGGAAAGGCGAAAAGAACCCCGGCGAGGGGAGUGAAAAAGAACCUGAAACCGUGUACGUACAAGCAGUGGGAGCACAGGUUUACCUGUGUGACUGCGUACCUUUUGUAUAAUGGGUCAGCGACUUAUAUUCUGUAGCAAGGUUAACCGAAUAGGGGAGCCGGAGGGAAACCGAGUCUUA
Molecule: ribosomal RNA, 645 nt
Filed under: Salmonella enterica subsp. enterica serovar Agona
Lineage: Bacteria; Pseudomonadati; Pseudomonadota; Gammaproteobacteria; Enterobacterales; Enterobacteriaceae
Description: partial 23S ribosomal RNA
Rfam family: Bacterial large subunit ribosomal RNA
Source: RNAcentral